Molecule: long non-coding RNA, 403 nt
Organism: Diuraphis noxia (Russian wheat aphid)
Lineage: Eukaryota; Metazoa; Arthropoda; Insecta; Hemiptera; Aphididae
Source: RefSeq, a predicted model, not a curated record
GACGGCGCUGCACGUGGCUGUUCAAAACGGCGAACGAAAGAUCUGUUAUCUAUUGGUGUCGGCUGGAGCGCCGCUAUUGGCCGUCGAUAAACAAGACCGGACGGCUCAGCAAAUAGCCGAACAGACCAGAGACUAUGACCUCGCCAAAUACUUAGAAUGCCAAGCUCAGUUCGUAUCUUUCGCGGACCAAACGGAGACGUCCGUCUAGACACGGCGGCUGCGUCUGCUGAAUUAGACGGCAAUAAAACUAUCACUAUAUAUAAUAUAUUCUAUACAUUUUAAAUUUAUAUUAUUAUUAUUAUUGUUAUUAAUUGAUUAUAUUUUUAUUCACAAUCCGUCGACGCGCACGUCCUUUUUUAUGUAUAUUAUUAUAUUAUAGUCUCUGCGAGAUCGAUAAAAAUGA